RNAcentral lists this ribosomal RNA (365 nucleotides) under uncultured bacterium. RNAcentral describes it as "bacterial SSU rRNA". It matches the Rfam family "Bacterial small subunit ribosomal RNA", at positions 335 to 683 of the family's 1533-position model. The record is from RNAcentral.
ACUCCUACGGGAGGCAGCAGUGGGAAUAUUGCACAAUGGGGAAGCCAUCGAUGCAGCCAUGCCGCGCUGUGUGAAGAAGGCCAAUUCGGGCUUGGUAAAGACACUUUUCAGUAGGGAGGAAGGUAGUGUAGUUAACACCUGCACUAUUUUGACGUUACCUACAGAAGAAGCACCGGCUAACUCCGUGCCAGCAGCCGCGGUAAUACGGAGGGUGCGAGCGUUAAUCGGAAUUACUGGGCGUAAAGCGCAUGCAGGCGGCCUGUUAAGUCAGAUGUGAAAGCCCGGGGCUUAACCUCGGAAUUGCAUUUGAAACUGGCAGGCUAGAGUCUUGUAGAGGGGGUGAGAAUUGAUCAGGUGUAGCGGUG